CCUACGUGAGGCAGCAGUGAGGAAUAUUGGUCAAUGGACGAGAGUCUGAACCAGCCAAGUAGCGUGAAGGAUGACUGCCCUAUGGGUUGUAAAUUUCUUUUAUAAAGGAAUAAAACGAGGCACGUGUGCCUUUUUGCAUGUACUUUAUGAAUAAGGAUCGGCUAACUCCGUUCCAGCAGCCGCGGUAAUACGGAGGAUCCGAGCGUUAUCCGGAUUUAUUGGGUUUAAAGGGAGCGUAGAUGGGUUGUUAAGUCAGUUGUGAAAGUUUGCGGCUCAACCGUAAAAUUGCAAUUGAUACUGGCAGUCUUGAGUACAGUUGAGGUAGGCGGAAUUCGUGGUGUAGCGGUGAAAUGCUUAGAGAUCACGAAGAACCCCGAGUGCGAAGGCAGCUUACUAAACUGUGACUGACAUUGAUGCUCGAAAGUGUGGGUAUCAAACAGGAUUAGAUACCCUUGUAGUC
This 460-nucleotide ribosomal RNA is filed under the name uncultured bacterium. Its description in RNAcentral is "partial 16S ribosomal RNA". It matches the Rfam family "Bacterial small subunit ribosomal RNA", at positions 338 to 795 of the family's 1533-position model. The record is from RNAcentral.